RNAcentral lists this ribosomal RNA (490 nucleotides) under uncultured bacterium. RNAcentral describes it as "partial 16S ribosomal RNA". It matches the Rfam family "Bacterial small subunit ribosomal RNA", at positions 30 to 507 of the family's 1533-position model. The record is from RNAcentral.
AUUGAACGCUGGCGGCAUGCUUUACACAUGCAAGUCGGACGGCAGCGGGGUAGUGCUUGCACUACUGCCGGCGAGUGGCGGACGGGUGAGUAAUAUAUUGGAACGUACCGAGUAAUGGGGGAUAACCAAUCGAAAGAUUGGCUAAUACCGCAUACGCUCUGAGGAGGAAAGCAGGGGACCUUCGGGCCUUGCGUUAUUCGAGCGGCCAAUAUCUGAUUAGCUAGUUGGUGGGGUAAGGGCCUACCAAGGCGACGAUCAGUAGCGGGUCUGAGAGGAUGAUCCGCCACACUGGGACUGAGACACGGCCCAGACUCCUACGGGAGGCAGCAGUGGGGAAUGUUGGACAAUGGGCGCAAGCCUGAUCCAGCCAUGCCGCGUGUCUGAAGAAGGCCUUCGGGUUGUAAAGGACUUUUGUUAGGGAAGAAAAAGGAGCGGUUAAUACCCGUUUCUGCUGACGGUACCUAAAGAAUAAGCACCGGCUAACUACGUG